GCAAAGGCUGGGGCAAGACUGCUGUGGAGCACUGGGUGCACCUAAGAGGGAAGAAGGAGCUGGAUUUGGCACUGAGCACCAGAGCAUAGUGAGGUGGUCAUGGGAGCAGCCGAGUUGGUUCAAAACUGCACCUUGCCUGACUUUUUUCCCCUGAUUCUGGCCUAAGUACUGCUCUACAGCCAUGUGACCUGGUUUACGUGCUCUCACAUCAUCUUCACAUUUCACUCCAAGUUCAUCUCCGCAUUCACAUCCCAUUCCAAGAGCCAUCAGGAGACGAGGAAGCGCCGAGUCCACCAAGCAAUUUCACCAGCUCUUCAUAUAUUCUUCUUGGAGGUUUCAUGCCAUAAUCUUACCUCUUUCUUGUGUAUUUAGGUCAUACAAGUUACUGAUGAGGUGACAAGAUGGAAGAUCACUUCUCACAAAGAUGAUACCUUCUCACAAGGACUAAAAGGUUUCCAGAUAGAUUUGAGCUCUUUCCAUAUUGUGCACCAAUGAUGUCACAUGGCCCUCUCAUCCCAACCCCUAGAGGACCCUCAGUGAAUCAAAGGCAUAUCAAGAUUACAGAGCACUAUAUGUAAAUGAAGGGAUAGGUGAAGACUAAAUACCCUCAGAUUUAAAAAGCCUGUAGAAUGAUUUAUAAUCCUUUGGGUAUAAAGACACAUGCACAUGUAUGUUUAUUGCAGAACUAUUGUCAAUAGCAAAACUUGGAACCAACCCAAAUGCCCAUCAAUGAUAGACCGGAUAAAGAAAAUGUGGCACAUAUACACCAUGGAAUACCAUGCAGCCAUAAAAAAGAAUGAGUUCAUGUCCUUUAUAGGGACAUGGAUGAAGCUGGAAACCAUCAUCCUCAGCAAACUAACACAGGAACAGAAAACCAAAUACUGCAUGAUCUCACUCGUAAGUGGGAGUUGGACAAUGAGAACACAUGGACACAGGGAGGGGAACAUCACACACUGGGGCCUGUCGGGAGUGGAGGGAAAGAGGAGGGAGAGCAUCAGGACAAAUACCUAAUGUACACAAGGCUUAAAACCCAGAUGACGGGUUGAUAGGUGCAGCAAACCAUCAUGGUACAUGUAUAUCUGUGUAACAAACCUGCAUGUUCUGCACAUGUAUCCCAGAACUUAAAGUAAAAGAAAAAAGAAAAGGAAAAAAAAAUACUGUAGUAAGUUGUUGUUUGGUGGUCCUUCCUUCAUAAAUAAGAGUGAGCUGCAGCUGGGCUCUGUGGCUUACACCUGUAAUCCCAGCACUUUGGGAGGCCGAGGCAGGUGGAUCACUUGGUCAGGAAAUCAAGACCAUCCUGGCUAACAUGGUGAAACCCCAUCUUUACUAAAAAUACAAAAAAAAAAAGACAAAAAAUAGCCAGGCAUGGUGGCGGGCGCCUGUAGUCCCAGCUACUUGGGAGGCUGAGGCAGGAGAACGGCGUGAACCUGGGAGGCAGAGCUUGCAGUGAGUCAAGAUCAAGCCACUGCACUCCAGCCUUGGUGACAGAGCAAGACUCUGUCUCAAAAAAAAAAAAGAGUGAGCUGCAACAGGACCUAGUCCUAUGGGUCUAAAGUAAAGAAAAUACUAGGGAAACAUGUUGUCUUUGUCUCCCUGUCCAAUGUUCCUUGUGUGAGAAGCUCAGUUUAACUCCUCUGAC
Molecule: long non-coding RNA, 1639 nt
Filed under: Homo sapiens (human)
Lineage: Eukaryota; Metazoa; Chordata; Mammalia; Primates; Hominidae
Description: HSALNT0389391
Source: RNAcentral